This 388-nucleotide long non-coding RNA is filed under the name Gallus gallus (chicken). RNAcentral's name for it is "long non-coding RNA NONGGAT008269". Lineage: Eukaryota; Metazoa; Chordata; Aves; Galliformes; Phasianidae. The record is from RNAcentral.
GCUGGGAGCUCUUCCCCCACUGUUCCAAAGACUAUAGAGGGAACACCAGAGUGCUUGAACCAAUGAGACAAACAAGGGGGAAUAUUGGAAGAAUUUGUUUACCUCGAUUUGUGAUUGCUGCCCUUGGAGUUUCCAUCAGAGGAGGCAGUUUCAAACUGGAGGAUUAUGAAUAGCAUGUGGAACCAUAACACUGGGGAUGACUCACACCAUAACGCAUCAAGAAAGCCAUUUCCAACCACAAGGCUAUUUCUGAAAGAGUGCUUGGCACCGGUGGGGGAAUCUUGGCUACAAGUGGUUGGUUGUAGUGGCACAUGCAAUACCCAAAGGCAGACAUCCUGAUGAAUUUCUGACAGAGCAGGGUGGGAGAUAAUUCAUCCGGCAGCCCAAG